Molecule: small RNA, 504 nt
Filed under: Clonostachys rosea
Lineage: Eukaryota; Fungi; Ascomycota; Sordariomycetes; Hypocreales; Bionectriaceae
Description: eukaryotic LSU rRNA
Rfam family: 5.8S ribosomal RNA (bases 158-311)
Source: RNAcentral
CGGAGUUUACAACUCCCAAACCCAUGUGAACAUACCUACUGUUGCUUCGGCGGGAUUGCCCCGGGCGCCUCGUGUGCCCCGGAUCAGGCGCCCGCCUAGGAAACUUAACUCUUGUUUUAUUUUGGAAUCUUCUGAGUAGUUUUUACAAAUAAAUAAAAACUUUCAACAACGGAUCUCUUGGUUCUGGCAUCGAUGAAGAACGCAGCGAAAUGCGAUAAGUAAUGUGAAUUGCAGAAUUCAGUGAAUCAUCGAAUCUUUGAACGCACAUUGCGCCCGCCAGUAUUCUGGCGGGCAUGCCUGUCUGAGCGUCAUUUCAACCCUCAUGCCCCUAGGGCGUGGUGUUGGGGAUCGGCCAAAGCCCGCGAGGGACGGCCGGCCCCUAAAUCUAGUGGCGGACCCGUCGUGGCCUCCUCUGCGAAGUAGUGAUAUUCCGCAUCGGAGAGCGACGAGCCCCUGCCGUUAAACCCCCAACUUUCCAAGGUUGACCUCAGAUCAGGUAGGAAU